GUACUUCUCCGCGUCUUGACGAGAAGUUGGCCGGGCGGAAGGAUCUAGAUCAACGGCACCCUUCCCGCCCUUCUUGGUGGAGACCUUCAUCUUCUUCUUUGGUCCGUCUUUCAAUUUCGCUUUCCCUUUUGCAGUCCCACUGACGAAACAUUGCUGGAUGAAUUGGUGCGUCAGAGAUUUGAGUGGUUUUGCUCUCACGACCCGGAACAUAUCUACUCCUCGGAUUGUUCUCGUCUACGCUUCCUGUUACACUCAUGGCGUCUGUUUGCUGGUUGUGAAACCAGAGUGAUUUCGGAGGACUCCAUUUUUGGAUGGAAGAAAAACAAGGUAAGCUCCAUCCACUAGACUGUUAGUGUUGGGUUAAGCUGGGCUGAGUAAAAUCAGACCAGUUAAGCUCCAUCCACUAGACUGUUAGUGUUGAGUUAAGCUAGGAUGGUCUCCGACCCUUCCUUCCACCCUUCUCCUGUCCACCGUCGUCAUACUUUGUAAGUUUCGACUUUUCUAGCAGUUUGUCCAAUUUGUAUCCGUAGGUUGUCAUGCGUGAUACUCAUAUAGUGGUGUGAUAUACUCUUUCAUAUCUCUUCGUUUAUAUUAAUAUCAAUCUCACGGCUUGAGUAAAUUUUUAAUUAUUGAUUGCAUUUGCUAUCUUCGAUUUCGAUUCUUCUAUGAAGAAAAAAGAGAUAGACUUACCAAGAACAAUAAGGAAACGAUCCAAUACUGAAACCAAACGAAUUAUAGCUUUGAGAUAAAACAAACAAAUGGGUAUGAAGUUAAAACACAGAUGGCAGAACCAUAACAUUACAUGUUUAGAUUCUUUUCCGUAUCGUUUUCACAUGUGUUUUGCAAAAUUGCGUCCUAUCUAUCAAUAUACUUUCCUAAUCAACUUUGCUUCUGUUUUGCCCCCCCCCCCCUCCACCACAUCAAUCAGAAAACAGAGUAAUACACCAACUGAUCAGCAGAAUCAACACCAAACCCGGCCAGUUUGGAGGCCGGUUCAUGAUCUCUCUGGGCAGUACUCUUGCAGCAACCGCCGCCGUUGGCGAGAUCGUGGAACUGAUCGGAAUUAUUUGAAGGAGG
This 1077-nucleotide long non-coding RNA is filed under the name Linum usitatissimum (flax). RNAcentral's name for it is "long non-coding RNA (LUSI_LNC004434)". Lineage: Eukaryota; Viridiplantae; Streptophyta; Magnoliopsida; Malpighiales; Linaceae. The record is from RNAcentral.